Neopelma chrysocephalum (saffron-crested tyrant-manakin) is the source of this 164-nucleotide long non-coding RNA. RefSeq lists it as uncharacterized. The transcript has 3 exons. Lineage: Eukaryota; Metazoa; Chordata; Aves; Passeriformes; Pipridae. The record is from RefSeq and is a predicted model, not a curated record.
AUACAGCCCCAAGGGCCGGACCGUCCUGAGCUCGGUGGUUCGUUACGACCCCGCCCCCGCCGACCACGCCCAGUCUGGCCCCGCCCCCCAGGCCCCGCCCCGCCCCUCGGCCACCAUCAGCCUCAGCGUCAGCCUCAGCCACGCCCAGGCCGGGGGGUGGCACU